UGAUAGGUUGUGGCGUUUUGCCUCGCAAU
RNAcentral lists this small RNA (29 nucleotides) under Bombyx mori (domestic silkworm). Its description in RNAcentral is "ovarian small RNA-32446". Lineage: Eukaryota; Metazoa; Arthropoda; Insecta; Lepidoptera; Bombycidae. The record is from RNAcentral.